This 328-nucleotide ribosomal RNA is filed under the name Megasphaera micronuciformis. RNAcentral's name for it is "bacterial SSU rRNA". It matches the Rfam family "Bacterial small subunit ribosomal RNA", at positions 1 to 319 of the family's 1533-position model. Lineage: Bacteria; Bacillati; Bacillota; Negativicutes; Veillonellales; Veillonellaceae. The record is from RNAcentral.
UUUAAUGAGAGUUUGAUCCUGGCUCAGGAUGAACGCUGGCGGCGUGCCUAAUACAUGCAAGUAGAACGCUGAAGCUUGGUGCUUGCACCGAGCGGAUGAGUUGCGAACGGGUGAGUAACGCGUAGGUAACCUGCCUCUUAGCGGGGGAUAACUAUUGGAAACGAUAGCUAAUACCGCAUAAAAGUCGAUAUUGCAUGAUAUUGAUUUGAAAGGUGCAAAUGCAUCACUAAGAGAUGGACCUGCGUUGUAUUAGCUAGUUGGUGAGGUAACGGCUCACCAAGGCGACGAUACAUAGCCGACCUGAGAGGGUGAUCGGCCACACUGGGAC